GAUGAACGCUGGCGGCGUGCCUAAUACAUGCAAGUCGAGCGAACGGACGAGAAGCUUGCUUCUCUGAUGUUAGCGGCGGACGGGUGAGUAACACGUGGAUAACCUACCUAUAAGACUGGGAUAACUUCGGGAAACCGGAGCUAAUACCGGAUAAUAUUUUGAACCGCAUGGUUCAAAAGUGAAAGACGGUCUUGCUGUCACUUAUAGAUGGAUCCGCGCUGCAUUAGCUAGUUGGUAAGGUAACGGCUUACCAAGGCAACGAUGCAUAGCCGACCUGAGAGGGUGAUCGGCCACACUGGAACUGAGACACGGUCCAGACUCCUACGGGAGGCAGCAGUAGGGAAUCUUCCGCAAUGGGCGAAAGCCUGACGGAGCAACGCCGCGUGAGUGAUGAAGGUCUUCGGAUCGUAAAACUCUGUUAUUAGGGAAGAACAUAUGUGUAAGUAACUGUGCACAUCUUGACGUUACCUAAUCAGAAAGCCACGGCUAACUACGUG
RNAcentral lists this ribosomal RNA (497 nucleotides) under uncultured bacterium. RNAcentral describes it as "partial 16S ribosomal RNA". It matches the Rfam family "Bacterial small subunit ribosomal RNA", at positions 28 to 507 of the family's 1533-position model. The record is from RNAcentral.